This 74-nucleotide transfer RNA is filed under the name bacterium. Its description in RNAcentral is "tRNA-Met". It matches the Rfam family "tRNA". From Rfam's summary of the family: Transfer RNA (tRNA) molecules are approximately 80 nucleotides in length. Their secondary structure includes four short double-helical elements and three loops (D, anti-codon, and T loops). The record is from RNAcentral.
CGCGGGGUGGUGGAGUAGUACCACGCGGGUCUCAUAAGCCCGAGGCGCCGGUGCAAUUCCGGCCCCCGCAACAA